This 86-nucleotide transfer RNA is filed under the name marine eukaryotic metagenome. It matches the Rfam family "tRNA". From Rfam's summary of the family: Transfer RNA (tRNA) molecules are approximately 80 nucleotides in length. Their secondary structure includes four short double-helical elements and three loops (D, anti-codon, and T loops). The record is from RNAcentral.
GAGGAGUGGCCGAGCGGUUUAAGGCGGCGGUCUCGAAAACCGUUUCCCGGUUUCGCCGGGACGCAGGUUCGAAUCCUGCCUCCUCC